Molecule: unclassified non-coding RNA, 87 nt
Filed under: Klebsiella pneumoniae subsp. pneumoniae BJ1-GA
Lineage: Bacteria; Pseudomonadati; Pseudomonadota; Gammaproteobacteria; Enterobacterales; Enterobacteriaceae
Description: U1
Source: RNAcentral
UUAACGUCAAAAUCAACCCUUGUACUCAAGAGAUUCCUUAAUAGAAUAUUGCUUAUGUAGUAGGUAGUCAUGUUGAUGCCACUACAU